Small nuclear RNA from Alosa alosa (allis shad), 115 nucleotides. RefSeq annotates it as U5 spliceosomal RNA. The record is from RefSeq and is a predicted model, not a curated record. The transcript has a single exon. Lineage: Eukaryota; Metazoa; Chordata; Actinopteri; Clupeiformes; Clupeidae.
UCGCUCGGGUUUCUCUUCAUCUCGCACAAAUCUUUCGCCUUUUACUAAAGAUUUCCGUGGAGGGGAACAGCCCCGAGUUCACGGUAUUUUUGAAGCUCUGCUUCGGCGAGGAGCU